GAUAAAAUGAAAAUUAAAAACAGCAAGUGUCAACCCUGACCAGAAUCCUAAUCUGGAAAGAAUGAGGGUGUGCGUGGUGCGCUCCACAGCUACUAUGUGCAAGACAUUCAAAAAUAAUGGAAUAUGGAUCCCUCAAAGUUGUUGUAUUUCAGAGAUUAUUUACUGUAUGUUGUGGGUUAUGAAUAAUGAAUUCAGCUUUCAAUAUUUCAUAAUCCUCUCCUACUCUGUAUUAUGUACAAAUAUUGAACAGCAAGAGAUUCUAAUUAUAAAUUUAUGGAUUUCUUGCUGUAGAAAAAUUUAUGUCUAAAUUGAAGCUUUUCAUAAGAUGUAUUAGUUGACAGGUAUCAGUGUUCAAACAGCCUUAGAAUGAUGCCUAAUUACAUCUACAAGGGAGUGAUUGUAUUCCACAAAGAAAUGAUGUGCUAGCAUCAGAUCCUUCAGAAGUAGAGCUCGAAUGGUAAAAGAUUUUCUGUGAAUUGAAACUAACAUUACAUAACAAUAACCAUUUUAUAUUCUGUUGUGAAACCUUUAGACAGAUGUCUUCAAAAUUAAUUGCUAAACUACAUGUGACAGUAAUUGUGUAUUAGUUCUGUAAUUGUCAUUUUGAAAACCCAUGAAGUAUUGCUUGGAAAAAAAUGUCACUAGUGAUAAGACUUAAUUGCAAGUGAAGUCUGUUUUCAACUGUUUGCAGUUAGAAGCAGGU
RNAcentral lists this long non-coding RNA (703 nucleotides) under Homo sapiens (human). RNAcentral describes it as "long non-coding RNA NONHSAT173880". Lineage: Eukaryota; Metazoa; Chordata; Mammalia; Primates; Hominidae. The record is from RNAcentral.